Molecule: ribosomal RNA, 2249 nt
Filed under: human gut metagenome
Description: bacterial LSU rRNA
Rfam family: Bacterial large subunit ribosomal RNA
Source: RNAcentral
AGUGUGAUGAGGUACUUUUUGUAGAACGGUCCGGCGAGUUAUAGUAACGAGCAAGCUUAAGGUAUUCAGUACCGGAGGCGAAGCGAGAGCGAGUCUGAAUAGGGCGCAUAAAGUUCGUUGCCAUAGACCCGAAACCGGGUGACCUAACCAUGAGCAGGCUGAAGUGAGAGUAAAAUCUCAUGGAGGGCCGAACGCACGUUCGUUGCAAUGACCGGCGAUGACUUGUGGUUAGCGGAGAAAUUCCAAUCGAACUCGGAGAUAGCUGGUUCUCCCCGAAAUAGCUUUAGGGCUAGCGUUAUCUUAGAUUACCGGAGGUAAAGCACUGAAUGGGCUAGGGGGCGAUAAGCUUACUGAACCCUAUCAAACUCUGAAUGCCGGCUAAUUGAUGAUCAGCAGUCAGACAGUGUGAGAUAAGUUUCAUUGUCAAAAGGGAAACAGCCCAGACCUACAGCUAAGGUCCCAAAUGUAUGCUAAGUGGAAAACGAUGUGGAGUUGCGAAAACAACCAGGAUGUUGGCUUAGAAGCAGCCAUUCAUUAAAAGAGUUCGUAAUAGAUCACUGGUCGAGUGACUCUGCGCGGAAAAUAUAACGGGGCUAAGCAUGCAACCGAAGCUUGGGAUUGUCUAAAGACAGUGGUAGGGGAGCGUCGUGUACGGGGUGAAGUCGCAUCGGAAGGAGCGGUGGACUGUACACGAGUGAGAAUGCCGGAAUGAGUAGCGAGAAUUAUGUGGGAAUCAUAAUGGCCGAAAAUCUAAGGUUUCUUGGGGAAGGUUCGUCCGCCCAAGGUAAGCCGGGAGCUAAGGCGAGGCCGCAAGGCGUAGUCGAUGCACAUACGGUAGAAAUUCCGUAGCCACCGAACUUUAAACCAGAAGGACACUUGCAGAUAGCGGAACCCAGCCGUUGGUUGAGCUGGGCGUAAGGGACUGAAAUAUAGUAGGGAAGUCUGCGAUGCUCAGAGGCGAGAAAAGCUCCGGUGUAUGCUAAGGUGCCCGUACCGCAAACCGACACAGGUAGAUGAGGAGAGAAUCCUAAGGCCAACGGGAGAAGGGUUGUUAAGGAACUCGGCAAAUUGACCCCGUAACUUCGGGAGAAGGGGUGCUCCAGAGAUGGAGCCGCAGAGAAUCGGCCCAAGCAACUGUUUACCAAAAACACAGGUUUGUGCUAAAUCGAAAGAUGACGUAUACGAGCUGACGCCUGCCCGGUGCUGGAAGGUUAAAAGGAGAUGUGCAAGCAUUGAAUUGAAGCCCCAGUGAACGGCGGCCGUAACUAUAACGGUCCUAAGGUAGCGAAAUUCCUUGUCAGGUAAGUUCUGACCCGCACGAAAGGUGUAACGAUUUGGGCGCUGUCUCGGCAGCAGACUCGGUGAAAUCUUAGUACCUGUGAAAAUGCAGGUUACCCGCAACUAGACGGAAAGACCCCAUGGAGCUUUACUGCAGCCUGAUAUUGAAUUCUGGUCAUACAUGUACAGGAUAGGUGGGAGACAAAGAGACGUGCACGCCAGUGUACGAGGAGUCGCUGUUGGGAUACCACUCUUGUGUGACCGGGGUUCUAACCUGGUAUCGAGAACAGGUACGGGGAGAGUGUCAGGUGGGCAGUUUGACUGGGGCGGUCGCCUCCCAAAGAGUAACGGAGGCGCCCAAAGGUACGCUCAGAUUGGAUGGAAACCAAUCGUCGAGUGCAAUUGCAGAAGCGUGCUUGACUGUGAGACAAACAAGUCGAACAGGGACGAAAGUCGGGAAUAGUGAUCCGGCGGUGCCGAAUGGAAGGGCCGUCGCUCAACGGAUAAAAGCUACCCUGGGGAUAACAGGCUGAUCUCGCCCAAGAGUUCACAUCGACGGCGAGGUUUGGCACCUCGAUGUCGGCUCAUCGCAUCCUGGAGGUGAAUUCGCUUCCAAGGGUUGGGCUGUUCGCCCAUUAAAGCGGUACGCGAGCUGGGUUCAGAACGUCGUGAGACAGUUCGGUCCCUAUCUGUUGUGGGCGAAGGAGAUCUGCGGAGAGCUGUCCUCAGUACGAGAGGACCGGGAUGGACCUACCGCUGGUGCACCGGUUGUUCCGCCAGGGGCAUAGCCGGGUAGCUAAGUAGGGAAAGGAUAAGCGCUGAAAGCAUCUAAGCACGAAGCCUACUCCAAGAUGAGAUCUCCCAUUCGCAAGAAGUAAGACCCCUUAAAGACGAUAAGGUAGAUAGGCCAGGGAUGGAAGUGCAGUGAUGUACGGAGUUGACUGGUACUAAUCGGUCGAGGACUUAAUCAG